RNAcentral lists this ribosomal RNA (465 nucleotides) under uncultured bacterium. Its description in RNAcentral is "bacterial SSU rRNA". It matches the Rfam family "Bacterial small subunit ribosomal RNA", at positions 338 to 795 of the family's 1533-position model. The record is from RNAcentral.
CCUACGGGUGGCACCAGUGGGGAAUAUUGCACAAUGGGCGCAAGCCUGAUGCAGCCAUGCCGCGUGUAUGAAGAAGGCCUUCGGGUUGUAAAGUACUUUCAGCGGGGAGGAAGGCGAUAAGGUUAGUAACCUUGUCGAUUGACGUUACCCGCAGAAGAAGCACCGGCUAACUCCGUGCCAGCAGCCGCGGUAAUACGGAGGGUGCAAGCGUUAAUCGGAAUUACUGGGCGUAAAGCGCACGCAGGCGGUCUGUCAAGUCGGAUGUGAAAUCCCCGGGCUCAACCUGGGAACUGCAUUCGAAACUGGCAGGCUAGAGUCUUGUAGAGGGGGGUAGAAUUCCAGGUGUAGCGGUGAAAUGCGUAGAGAUCUGGAGGAAUACCGGUGGCGAAGGCGGCCCCCUGGACAAAGACUGACGCUCAGGUGCGAAAGCGUGGGGAGCAAACAGGAUUAGAUACCCGUGUAGUC